This 22-nucleotide non-coding RNA is filed under the name Arabidopsis thaliana (thale cress). The record is from RNAcentral. Lineage: Eukaryota; Viridiplantae; Streptophyta; Magnoliopsida; Brassicales; Brassicaceae.
UAGAGGUGAUAAGUACCUUAGC